AGAGGAUGAUCAUCCACACUGAAACUGAGACACGGUCCAGACUCCUACGGGAGUCAGCAGUGAGGAAUAUUGCACAAUGGUGGAAACCCUGAUGCAGCCAUGCCGCGUGUGUGAAGAAGGCCUUCGGGUUGUAAAGCACUUUCACCGAGGAGGAAAGGUUGAUGCCUAAUACGUAUCAACUGUGACGUUACUCGCAGAAGAAGCACCGGCUAACUCCGUGCCAGCAGCCGCGGUAAUACGGAGGGUGCAAGCGUUAAUCGGAAUUACUGGGCGUAAAGCGCACGCAGGCGGUUGGAUAAGUUAGAUGUGAAAGCCCCGGGCUCAACCUGGGAAUUGCAUUUAAAACUGUCCAGCUAGAGUCUUGUAGAGGGGGGUAGAAUUCCAGGUGUAGCGGUGAAAUGCGUAGAGAUCUGGAGGAAUACCGGUGGCGAAGGCGGCCCCCUGGACAAAGACUGACGCUCAGGUGCUAAAGCGUGGGGAGCAAACAGG
Molecule: ribosomal RNA, 489 nt
Filed under: uncultured Aeromonadaceae bacterium
Lineage: Bacteria; Pseudomonadati; Pseudomonadota; Gammaproteobacteria; Aeromonadales; Aeromonadaceae
Description: bacterial SSU rRNA
Rfam family: Bacterial small subunit ribosomal RNA
Source: RNAcentral